This is a long non-coding RNA of Haliotis rubra (blacklip abalone), 556 nucleotides long. RefSeq lists it as uncharacterized. The record is from RefSeq and is a predicted model, not a curated record. The transcript is spliced from 4 exons. NCBI's taxonomy places the organism in Eukaryota, Metazoa, Mollusca, Gastropoda, Lepetellida, Haliotidae.
UCCAUUGUGUGAACAUCAACAGCUCUCCCUACACCGUCACAGCAGCCUCACCAUCGUCUACUCCGUUCCCAGCACAUCAUGCUGUUUGGAGAAAUUGAUAAUGAGAAGUUAACGUGAGAAGGAGUGAGUGCUGCCUGCUGUUUGUUGAUCCUGACAACCACGUCAAGCUUCACAGACGUGCCUGCUGUCAACCAUCACACUACUGGCGGGUGUUGAUGUUGUUGACAGCAGGUAUCAGUGCGCCGUAGGGGACGAUGACGACACAGCAUGAUGGUGGUCGCAUGGAGAGUGCGUGGUCGGUAAACGUGGUUGACAACAGUCGACAGGCGUUGUUGGAGGUUCCUUAUUGGCAUUUGACAUGACCGGAGCACAUCGUCAUCGAAGAUGUCGUCGUCAUCGCCACAGACGUCACCGUCGUCAUCGUCAUCACGGCUGAAGUUUCAAUAAUCGAUGAUGUCAAUUUGAACUGGAAAAGAGGGCAUUGAUCUGCACAAGAAGCAUACGGUGUUAAUGGUAAUACAUGCAAUUACUAAUAAAUCAUCACUGAGAAAACAAA